AUACGUAGGGUGCAAGCGUUAAUCGGAAUUACUGGGCGUAAAGCGUGCGCAGGCGGUUUUGUAAGACAGUGGUGAAAUCCCCGGGCUCAACCUGGGAACUGCCAUUGUGACUGCAAGGCUGGAGUGCGGCAGAGGGGGAUGGAAUUCCGCGUGUAGCAGUGAAAUGCGUAGAUAUGCGGAGGAACACCGAUGGCGAAGGCAAUCCCCUGGGCCUGCACUGACGCUCAUGCACGAAAGCGUGGGGAGCAAACAGGAUUAGAUACCCUGGUAGUCCACGCCCUAAACGAUGUCAACUGGUUGUUGGGGAUUUAUUUUCUCAGUAACGAAGCUAACGCGUGAAGUUGACCGCCUGGGGAGUACGGUCGCAAGGUUAAAACUCAAAUGAAUUGACGGGG
This 395-nucleotide ribosomal RNA is filed under the name uncultured bacterium. RNAcentral describes it as "partial 16S ribosomal RNA". It matches the Rfam family "Bacterial small subunit ribosomal RNA", at positions 523 to 918 of the family's 1533-position model. The record is from RNAcentral.